UACAGAGGUCCCAAGGCGUUGUUCGGAUUUACUGGGCGUAAAGGGUGCGUAGGUGGUUGGGUAAGUCUGAUGUGAAAUCUCCGGGCCUCAACCCGGAAAUGGCAUUGGAUACUAUUUGACUAGAGGGUUGGAGGGGGGACUGGAAUACUUGGUGUAGCAGUGAAAUGCGUAGAUAUCAAGUGGAACACCAGUGGCGAAGGCGAGUCCCUGGACAACUCCUGACACUGAGGCACGAAAGCUAGGGGAGCAAACAGG
This 255-nucleotide ribosomal RNA is filed under the name uncultured bacterium. Its description in RNAcentral is "partial 16S ribosomal RNA". It matches the Rfam family "Bacterial small subunit ribosomal RNA", at positions 524 to 776 of the family's 1533-position model. The record is from RNAcentral.